UCCGUUGGUGAACCAGCGGAGGGAUCAUUACCGAGUUUACAACUCCCAAACCCCUGUGAACAUACCUAUACGUUGCCUCGGCGGAUCAGCCCGCGCCCUGUAAAAAGGGACGGCCCGCCCGAGGACCCUAAACUCUGUUUUUAGUGGAACUUCUGAGUAAAACAAACAAAUAAAUCAAAACUUUCAACAACGGAUCUCUUGGUUCUGGCAUCGAUGAARAACGCAGCAWAAUGCGAUAAGUAAUGUGAAUUGCAGAAUUCAGUGAAUCAUCGAAUCUUUGAACGCACAUUGCGCCCGCCAGUAUUCUGGCGGGCAUGCCUGUUCGAGCGUCAUUUCAACCCUCAAGCUCAGCUUGGUGUUGGGACUCGCGGUAACCCGCGUUCCCCAAAUCGAUUGGCGGUCACGUCGAGCUUCCAUAGCGUAGUAAUCAUACACCUCGUUACUGGUAAUCGUCGCGGCCACGCCGUAAAACCCCAACUUCUGAAUGUUGACCUCGGAUUCAAGGUAGGAAUAACCCGCUGAACUUAAGCAUA
RNAcentral lists this ribosomal RNA (533 nucleotides) under uncultured fungus. RNAcentral describes it as "eukaryotic LSU rRNA". The stretch from base 179 to 332 matches the Rfam family "5.8S ribosomal RNA". Lineage: Eukaryota; Fungi. The record is from RNAcentral.